Long non-coding RNA from Papaver somniferum (opium poppy), 426 nucleotides. RefSeq lists it as uncharacterized. The record is from RefSeq and is a predicted model, not a curated record. NCBI's taxonomy places the organism in Eukaryota, Viridiplantae, Streptophyta, Magnoliopsida, Ranunculales, Papaveraceae. The transcript is spliced from 4 exons.
UUUCUCUUUAAAAUUCCUCUUCAGUUCCAUCGCCACCAGCAAAUAUCACCCCCAUCACUGUCAUCAUCACCAGCAAUACCAUCAUCCCCCACUACCAGCAACACCAACACCUAUCACCGCUUCUCAUUUGACCUGUUCCCCAAUUUCAAUUUCUCAAAUUUUUUGAUUAGUUUCUGUCACCACCAACAUCCUCCUCCACCGCCACCACCACUGCCAUCAUCACCAGCAACGCCAAUUUACUUCAGGUACAAAACAGUUUCGUAGGCAAAAAAAUUCAAUUCAUAUCUCGCCCUCUUGAAACAGGUUGGUUUAGUAAACUUGGAAAAUAAGGAAUUUGCUAAGAAGGUAGUGGAGACAACACAAGCUAAUCUACAGAGGUGAGUACAGAACAGAGGAUGAGAAAACACUAUUUUUUGCAAGGGUGAA